GCCGGGGUUUCUUCUACGGCUACCGUCAUUAUCUUCACCGUUGAAAGAGCUUUACGACCCUAAGGCCUUCAUCACUCACGCGGCAUGGCUAGAUCAGGCUUGCGCCCAUUGUCUAAGAUUCCCC
RNAcentral lists this ribosomal RNA (124 nucleotides) under uncultured bacterium. Its description in RNAcentral is "partial 16S ribosomal RNA". The record is from RNAcentral.